GUGGCAGGUAGAAAAUAACUGGAAACUAUUUAGUGGCAACAUUUUCAUUAAAAAGUUGUGAGGGGACAGACACUGCUUAAAGGCACACAAGAUAGCUAGGGAUGGCUUUUAAUUGGUGGAGCAGUGUCAAAGCUCAAAUAAGCACCUUACCUUGCUGACUCACCAAAGUAUCGCCACGGGGGCCUCAGAGUUGUGGCACAAGUGAGUGAUCGCUGGACUAUGGUGGCCAGGCCAGACUACCCAAAGGCCAGAAUAACACAUGGGAGAUCGAGACCGGAAUCUCAGUGAGUCUGAGUGCUGCAUAGCCCCUGGGUUGCCUCGGUGAGAGAUGACAAGCACUCAUCCUCCUUUCACUGUGCAUCUCAUUCCAGACGAAGACAAAUAAACCGCUGAUUGAAGCUGAGAACGUGAAGAUGUGACUGACAUGUUUGUAUAAAUGUUUACACAUUACUCCGUCUGAUUAGUCACAGCGCUCGUGGAUGGGGUCCAAGAGCUGGAAAAUAUACCUGUGUGCAUGUGUGAGACCGCAUGUAACUGUGUGUGACUUUUAGCUUGUGCAUCUCCACCCCUUUGAAAGCCCCUCCUGUCAUAUAAGAUUAGAGAAGGUACAUCUAACAAAGACAACAAGUCUCUCAUGUCAAGACUGUUUACAGAAAUAACACAGUAUUAAAUUUAGAGUAUCCUACACUCAUAAUUUCAAACACUCCCCCAUGAAAUAUUUAGUGUGACUAAAGGGAAGCAAGGUUGAUGUUGGAUGUUUUGACAUGUGUCUCUGUAACUUGGCUA
Cyprinus carpio carpio is the source of this 786-nucleotide long non-coding RNA. Lineage: Eukaryota; Metazoa; Chordata; Actinopteri; Cypriniformes; Cyprinidae. The record is from Ensembl.